AACGAGACCUAAGCCUGCUAAAUAGCCCGGCUAGCUUUGGCUGGUCGCUGGCUUCUUAGAGGGACUGUCGGCUCAAGCCGAUGGAAGUUUGAGGCAAUAACAGGUCUGUGAUGCCCUUAGAUGUUCUGGGCCGCACGCGCGCUACACUGACAGAGCCAACGAGUUUUUCUCCUUGACCGAAAGGUCUGGGUAAUCUUGUGAAACUCU
Molecule: ribosomal RNA, 207 nt
Filed under: Sclerotinia sclerotiorum
Lineage: Eukaryota; Fungi; Ascomycota; Leotiomycetes; Helotiales; Sclerotiniaceae
Description: partial small subunit ribosomal RNA
Rfam family: Eukaryotic small subunit ribosomal RNA
Source: RNAcentral